This 449-nucleotide ribosomal RNA is filed under the name uncultured bacterium. RNAcentral's name for it is "bacterial SSU rRNA". It matches the Rfam family "Bacterial small subunit ribosomal RNA", at positions 29 to 524 of the family's 1533-position model. The record is from RNAcentral.
AACGAACGCUGGCGGCAUGCCUAACACAUGCAAGUCGAACGAGACCUUCGGGUCUAGUGGCGCACGGGUGCGUAACGCGUGGGAAUCUGCCCUUGGGUUCGGAAUAACAGUUAGAAAUGACUGCUAAUACCGGAUAAUGUCUUCGGACCAAAGAUUUAUCGCCCAGGGAUGAGCCCGCGUAGGAUUAGCUAGUUGGUGAGGUAAAGGCUCACCAAGGCGACGAUCCUUAGCUGGUCUGAGAGGAUGAUCAGCCACACUGGGACUGAGACACGGCCCAGACUCCUACGGGAGGCAGCAGUGGGAAUAUUGGACAAUGGGCGAAAGCCUGAUCCAGCAAUGCCGCGUGAGUGAUGAAGGCCUUAGGGUUGUAAAGCUCUUUUGGCGGGGAAGAUAAUGACGGUACCCACAGAAUAAGCUCCGGCUAACUUCGUGCCAGCAGCCGCGGUAAU